GUGUUUAGUGUUGUGUUAUUUUGUUGUAUUGUGAGUGUUUUCCAAUCGGAAAAAAGGUAUAGCAUAGACAUAGCGAAAGGGGAGGCAUAUGUUGCAUAUGUUUAUGUGCGGAUGGGUUUUUUUUCGUGAGGUCAGACGGACAACAGUAGGAGGAUGAGACAAUUCCAACCAGACGGUCGCCAGACCCAGUCGAUAGCCCCCCGACACGAGCAGUAGUAGUAUAAGGUGUCCGGAAUCGGGUUUCGUUCCAGUAGUGGUGAUCGAAAAUAAAGGACACGUAUCGGAGAAAAGCAGCAUAAAAGAGGAAGAGAAAC
Molecule: long non-coding RNA, 314 nt
Organism: Sabethes cyaneus
Lineage: Eukaryota; Metazoa; Arthropoda; Insecta; Diptera; Culicidae
Exons: 3
Source: RefSeq, a predicted model, not a curated record